Molecule: ribosomal RNA, 274 nt
Filed under: uncultured bacterium
Lineage: Bacteria
Description: partial 16S ribosomal RNA
Rfam family: Bacterial small subunit ribosomal RNA
Source: RNAcentral
AUACGGAGGGUGCGAGCGUUACUCGGAGUCACUGGGCGUAAAGCGUCCGUAGGCGGUCGGGUAAGUCGGGUGUGAAAGCCCCGGGCUCAACCUGGGAAGUGCACCCGAUACUGCUCGACUCGAGUGCGGGAGAGGAUGGCGGAAUUCCCUGUGUAGCGGUGAAAUGCGUAGAGAUCGGGAGGAACACCAGUGGCGAAGGCGGCCAUCUGGCCCGCAACUGACGCUGAGGGACGAAAGCGUGGGGAGCAAACAGGAUUAGAUACCCCUGUAGUCC